Long non-coding RNA from Fukomys damarensis (Damara mole-rat), 512 nucleotides. RefSeq lists it as uncharacterized. The record is from RefSeq and is a predicted model, not a curated record. The transcript is spliced from 5 exons. Lineage: Eukaryota; Metazoa; Chordata; Mammalia; Rodentia; Bathyergidae.
CAGGUCACCUGUUGGGAAAGGUUGCGUUUUGAUGCUGAGAACACAGACAGGUAAGCAGGGACCAUUGUGAGGACUCAGCAGGUAACCAUGCAGAGGUUACCAUGACAGCUGGAGAUGGGCUGGGAGUUCCCAUAAUGCCUCCGUCAGGUCCCACCAUGCUCUGGGUCAGAGUGGGCACAUACGGGUGACAGAGCCCGGGACAGGCUAAAAGGGUACAAAAGAAGCACAUACAGAGAGAAAGACUUUGAGAUCAGCUCAAAGGGAGAAGAAGAAAUAGGAAGUUGUUUAGACCAGGCCAGGAAAACCAAGCUGCGGGACAAGAGGGACUGACAGAUAACAGCAGAGGACACCAGUGGGGCAAAUUUCAGCUGCUACAUAUAAAUGUUCCUAGUAAUAGAAAUCAAGCACAAUGAGAAGAUAUAGAACUUAAAGCGGCUACUGCCUGCCUGUGACCAUGCAACGUGACACAAAUGAACAGGUAACCAGAUUUAUGGAGGCUCCUUCUUCACGAU